CAGAGGGAAGCAAGCCAGAGGGAAGCAGUUCGUCAAGGUCCAUUACCAAAUUCCGUUUUCAUAGAGGAGCACAUCAUGUCUCAGCCACCGGUUGUCCCUACUACUGCAACGAAGGAGGGCAACGUUCACAGGAAAAGAGAGAUUCUAGCACUGGCAAAGUUAAGAGCUGCAGCUGAGAAAAGAGAAGUUGCAGACCAAGCAAAGUUUGAAGCAGCUAUGGCAAAGUUGAAAGAAGAAGAGGACAAAAUUAAGCUUGCGGCUCAAAAGAGAAAGGAAGAGUUGGAAGCUAAGAAACAAGCAGCUGAGGAAAAGAAAAAAGCUAUACUAGAGGAGAAGAGACUUGCUGCAGAAGAAAAGAGAAGAGCUAUUGAGGAAAAAAAGAGAAAGGCCCAAGAGGAGAAACUUCAAAUGGCAGAGAAGAAAAGGCAAAUGAUGGAUGAGAGAAAAAGAAAUGCCGAGUUAGCAAAGGAAAAAAAGGCCGAAGAGAAGAGAAGGAUUGCACAG
Molecule: ribosomal RNA, 504 nt
Filed under: Triticum aestivum (bread wheat)
Lineage: Eukaryota; Viridiplantae; Streptophyta; Magnoliopsida; Poales; Poaceae
Description: partial small subunit ribosomal RNA
Source: RNAcentral